GAUCCUGGCUCAGGAUGAACGCUAGCUACAGGCUUAACACAUGCAAGUCGAGGGGCAGCAUGGACCCAGCUUUGCUGGGUUUGAUGGCGACCGGCGCACGGGUGAGUAACGCGUAUCCAACCUGCCCUUUACUCCGGGAUAGUCUCCUGAAAGGGAGUUUAAUACCGGAUGUGUUUGUCUUUCCGGCAUGGGAGCGACAAAUAAAGAUUAAUUGGUAAAGGAUGGGGGU
RNAcentral lists this ribosomal RNA (229 nucleotides) under uncultured bacterium. Its description in RNAcentral is "partial 16S ribosomal RNA". It matches the Rfam family "Bacterial small subunit ribosomal RNA", at positions 15 to 232 of the family's 1533-position model. The record is from RNAcentral.